CCAGUCUACUAAUAAGCAAAAUUAUAACGCUGAUUCACUGAUUCACAUCUUGUUUCAUGCAGUCAACUGUGAAGUUUGUUUACGCCGUUCACGUCAAUUGCUCUGAAUCGCUAUAUACAUCUAUUUAACUAAAUAACUUUACAGCAAAAAAUGGUGAGGGUUUGCUGCAUUAAAGGGUGUAAAAACUCUUCGGACACUGUCUGCAGCUACUCAUUCUUCGUUUUCCCAUAUAACAACGAAAAGCUUAAAAAAUUAUGGCUCAACAGUGGGCCUGGAUAUAAAACUAUAUCCAAGUAUUCAUACAUUUGUUCAUACCACUUUUUCCCGGAGGAUUAUGUGGAACACAAACACACUGCCAGAAGAACAUUAAAAAAGAAUGCAGUACCCAGCAUAUUUCAUGACAAUGUACCUAAGAGUGCUGUUCCUCAGAUGAGUAACCUACCAAACUACAGCUUCCAAUAUGAUACUUCACCAUCACCACCAAUAAAAUAUGAACAAAGUGAAGAAGAUGAUAAAAAGUCCAACAAAAUGUUUUGCGGCACGGCAGUACAAACUUGUUCACAACUUAGUGGACUAAGCGUGUCUGUACAAACUUGUACACGACUCAGUGGACCAAGUAAUCGCGAACAAGAACUAGUCCGUAAAAUAAAACUUCUGCAAGAUCGAUUGAGGUAUAAAAAAAAAAGGAUUCAAAGAUUCCAGGACUUGGUAACACAUCUGAAAAAAACAGGUAUGACGAAAGUACAAUCAAUGAAGCAGAUGAUAGCACAGAAGCGGAUUAACAAACAAUGAAUAGUCUAUUCCAAAUAUUGGCAACAAACUAUUAUACAACAAAUUGUAUAAUAUUUUUAAUGCUGCUAAAUUGUGCAAACGAUAAGAAUCUUAUAGCAAAGAUAUCGAUCUGGUAGUGCAAUCAACGAUGACAGUUGAUGGUCAUAUGAGUAAUUGACCGUGAAGGCUAGUCGAAUAUUCUGAAGAUGCCUAAGCGACGAGUAACAGAGUCGGCUAGACAACAGACAGAGACAGCAGGAGUUUGCAAGCACACAAUUAAAAGUAAUUCACGGACGGACGCGCAAAUGAUGCGAGCAGCUGCGGGGUACCGUGGCCAGCAGAAGCCUUAGCAUAAAUAGGGAUGCAGCAGGGCACACUUCAGCGGAUUGGCAGCUCCACUGUCUCACUACGUCAGAACUGAGCAGUUUUCAUUGCAAGGCUGUAGCUACAUUUAGUCAUUUUCUAUUAUUGAAUCUUGGUGAGCGGUCAAUUAUAUAUAAACGUAUUUUUUGUUAACGUUUCGGCCCGGAUAUGGGCCCUCCUCAGAACGAUUUAUUUAUUUAACUGUCAAGAACAAAAUAAGAUUUUUUAUAAGAAAAGUACAACAGACAUUAAAUACUGUAGGUGUAAUACUCUUAAGGUUAUUGCAUAUUAUGGGUUAGUGAGUAGAAUUUUAAAAUUAAACCAGUAAAAACCUGGUCUCAAAGAUAUUUGAAUUUUAAUUCCCGCCACCCGAUGUCCUACAAAAUAGGCACCAUCUUUAAUUAAUCUUGUUGACCGAGCCAUCAAACUUUUAAGUACAGAAUUCCAUGAAAAAAAUCUGUCACUCAUAUAUAAUAUAUUAAGAUGGAAUGAUUAUCCUCACGGCCUAUUACAUAAACAUAUAAGUAAGAGACGCUCCCAUAUCCACAACUUACUUGACAAUAACAUUGACUCUGCUUCCGCAGACGACAAUAGACCUGCCACUACAUUUAUUCCCAUCCCAUGCGUAUCUGGUCUCUUUGAGUCACUGAACCGUCUAUUUACCAAACACAAUGUCAAGUUUGUAGGAAAAAAAUCAAAAAACUUACAAAUAAUCUUUGAUUCGGGAAAAGAUAGGAUCCCCAUGGGCAAACGAUCCAAUGUUGUGUACAAAAUACCGUGCAAUGAUUGCAAUCAAGUUUAUAUCGGACAAACUGGCCGCCACCUAAACACCAGAAUCAAAGAACAUCAACGCAAUGUACAUGAGAAUGAAGAACGUCACACUGCUCUAACAAAACAUGUGACCAAUAAACAACAUACUUUUAGCUACGACAAUACAAACAUCCUUUGUGAAGAACCUAAUUAUUAUAAAAGGUUAUUACUAGAAAUGUGCAAUAUUGUAGGACACACUAAUUCCGUUAACCUUAGACAAGAUGUUGAACAUCUUAGUAAUAUUUACAAACCGCUAAUCCCCGACCACAUAUCACAUAUUGUUUAACCUUAACUAUACACAUAAAAUUAUUGUCCCCAUGGCACAGUUUUAUUUACAUAAUUUUUUUGUUUUUUAUGUACAUAUGUUUAUAUCUGGUUCACCUUCACUCUGGGUCAUGUUUGUUUCUCCCAUCAGUCGUUAUUCACUAGUUGACCCAACCGGUUCAACAAAACUAUUGUUAGACAUAGAGAACAGAGUCAUAAAGAUCCCAGUACCACUUUCUUGGACAUUGAGUAAACUAAUUUAACUGCUAUAAAAACCUUCUUUAAAACCUUUUUAUUACAUUGACCUAUAGACAGUGAAGAUACAUAGUUUUUUUAAUCUUUUUAAUUAAUUACCUCAAAUUUGUAACUCCUACACUUUAAACAACCGGAGGAGCUGACAAUGACUACCGUUACUUGAAGAACGUUGUCUCGACAAAUUGUAUUUUAUGAAUUCGACUGUAUCUUAGUCCCCUUACUAUAAAAAGGUAAAUUACUCUCUAAGCCUAUUUUUUUUCAAUUAAUCGAAAUUGUACUCACUAACCCAUAAUAUACAAUAGCCUUAAGAGUAUUACACCUACAGUAUUUAAUGUCUGAUUGUACUUUUUUUAUAAAAAAUCUUAUUUUGUUCUUGACAGUUAAAUAAAUAAAUCGUUCUGAGGAGGGCCUAUAUCCGGGCCGAAACGUUAACAAAAAAUACGUUUAUAUAUAAUUGACGGCUCACCAAGAUUCAAUAAGAGAUUACACACGAGGUCGAGAAUUCUUACCCUUCAUAUUUAGUCAUUUUCGGGACUUGGAAAAUUUAGGCAUUUUGCUUUUCAACACUUGAGCGAAUAUAGAGUCGGCAGAGCCGGCAUCUUAGAACUCCCUUCUGUUUGAUAAACUUAAAAUAUUCUCCUAAAGCACGAAAUAAUUCAAACACCGAAUUAAAACUUAAACUUUUCGCGCACAGCACCAAAUAGUAUAAUUUGAAAAACUUGUUUGAUAAAAUUUUAUAAAAUUUACUAAUUCAGGAGCAGAACCUAUAAAUUCUUUAGAAUUUAUUUCCUUUAUUUUUAUGUUUCAAUCUUUUUUGUGAAACUUUAUUUUUGAUUUAUUUUAUGUUAUAUUUUGUAUCAGUGUUACAAUUGUCGUUUUAUAUUAAAACCUUUCUUAAACGUAUCUGUUUGCUAGACAGAAUCUUUCAUUUCGUGAUAUUGAUCAGGUUAAUUAUCCCUGGUCUGAUGUUGUAAAAAAAUCGUAAGGAAAGUCAAGCUAGGCACGUCCAGAUAUGGUUUCAUACCCUAUUCUGAGGAUGAAGGUAGCUCUAACCAGUUAACCAACCACCCGAGUCAGAUCCAAAACUUAGAUGUUCAGGGUGUUUUUCAGAUCGACAAACUCGACCCUUUUUUUUCAGCAACUAAGACCUAUCCUUUAAAUUUAAUUAUUUUAUCGCCUUUAAUUAACAAAAGGCAAAAACAGUCACGAUAAUAUGAGUUUUUUACAAACCUAAACGCUUCAAAAAACGCCAAAGGUAUACAAACUUGAAUUAUUUUGGGUGACAACUGAACCCUACUUGUUUUACAACACUUAUACCGACAUUUUUUCAAAUUAUUUAUAUUUACAAUUUAUAAAUUCGUAUAACAUCAACAGAUAUACUUCUACGCUUUUAAUGAAUAAUUCAAUACGUAUUUCCUCCUAGUUAUGCUCAGGUAUAUUAUUCCCGAUUCAUUUCAGUUCUAAUGAGUCAGGGUCUUUGGAUAUAUUGAAAAACACACCAAACUACCACUUCUUAAAUCGCAAGUAUGCAUACAAGUUAUAUACAUCAUAAUACAAACAUAAAGUAAACGCUUACGAAAAGGGUGUAUAAGCUGGUAUAAGAUUUUUGAAAGACUACUGAUGCGAGAGAGAUAGCACUUCGCCUCCAAGCUAUUUCUCUCUUUCUCUCUCUCUUUCUUCGAAAAGCCAGCAGUACAGCUAGCCAUGCGAGUGAUCGUUCCAAUAUUAUUAUAUUCCAGUGGUCUAAAUGCUUCUUAAAGACUAGUUUUCCCAUUGAUUAGUCUGAAGUAUCCGUUUUGCGAUUGACCAAAUCAUUUGAAGAUGAAGUACGCCCACCCAAGGUGACACUUAUGAACGUCCAGAACGUUUUAUGGGUUCUUCAAACAGUAAAGCCUUGCUUUCUGAAAACAUUACAUGUUGCAGCUAUGGAGGGUAAAAGUAAGAAGUAGUAUCUCAUAUGGUUUUGAACUGAAAAAGUGUCCACUAUAAAGCGACAAAUAGUGGUUCAACAAGUCACCAAAAUGGCGCUAGUAAGCCAUCAGGGUUCAUUCUGAUUAACACUUUCUUUUAAAUGUGGAACUUUCGUCAUAGUAACACCAUCUCAAUUGUACUCUAUUUUAUAAACACUUUCUAUACAUAGAGAUAAUCGUUCUUACCUCUACCCUCCGUAGUUGCAACGAUAAGACCAUUUUGUCUUAAGAGAGGAUUUUAUUUUUGAAUGUAGUUUCAAGGAAAAAAGAUGCGGUAUCAUGAAACCCAGCAGAAACGAAAAUAAUCAAUAUUUUUUCGCCUCCUGCAGUUGUUUCGAAGAUAUAUCAACAGAUAUUCACAUAGUGGUGAGAAUUCGGUUCAAACUGCGCAAUGUGGCUAGCUAUUUGCUUACCCUGCGUGUAGCACCGCUGCACACUCGAGCGCGAUCUUCAAUUGUUACGCGUGUUGUUUAUAACCUCAGUCAUCAUUUAUUACGAUUCCUGACAUGAUAUGUGAGUUUCGUACUGCCGGACAAUAUUUUUUAAACAUAUUCAUCCAAGGAACCUGGUGGAUGCUGCGGGAUUAGCGAAAAGGCUAAACUUAUCUUCUCCAAGUAGGCUUCUGCACGUUAAUCAUAAUAUUCUUAGCAUUAGAAUGCAUAAGAGUGACGUAAAUCAUCGAUCACGAUCAGUUACAGAUCGCUUAAGCAUGUUGCCAAACAACAAUGCGCAUUGGCUCAAUCUUACUCCAACAUCCAUCUCAGAUUUCAAACGGCUGGCGCGAGAUGCACUUUUUAGUUUCGAAUUAUCUAGAUUGGCAUGCUAUUAUUGCACCCAUUUUGUGCUACUUGUCAUAAUUCUUCAGUCAUUCACUGUGUAUGUCAGGGUAAUUUCUUGACUAUUAUAUCUUUGUAAAAAGGCAUUACCCAUGCAUAAUAAAUGAAUAAAUAAAGAUUUAUUUUUAUGGGACUCAAACCUAAUAGUUCAAUUUUCAAAUCGCAAAAAAGAAGCUGUAUACCAAAAUUUGGUGAAUUAUGUGUAAUAUGAUCAAUAAUAUUGGAUUUGUUCCCCAUUUCUUAUCACCAAGUUUGAUAGGAAUUGAUUUCAAUUGAAUUUUUGCACAAAACUCUAAUUGCAAAUC
This 5574-nucleotide unclassified non-coding RNA is filed under the name Neodiprion pinetum (white pine sawfly). Its description in RNAcentral is "tHAP domain-containing protein 1-like, transcript variant X3". The record is from RNAcentral. Lineage: Eukaryota; Metazoa; Arthropoda; Insecta; Hymenoptera; Diprionidae.